GUAAAAUCAAGAAAGAAAGUUAUAGUCGAUGUAAAGAGACAUAUAGCAAGUCUUCGUAGCAUUAUUUGUUCAGAAAUUAUUAGCAUUCGAAGCUUUUUAGUGACUUACGAGGUUCGACGGACGGUAAAUGACCGUUCCAAACCUAUUGCAUUCUAUGGCCACAUCUCCCGAACGGACGAAUUCGCGGGAUGAUUGACGCUUAGAAAAAAAUAAGAUAUAUUUCGAGGGAAAAAAGAGGAUCCUGUGCAAGAAAAUUUUAUAUUAAUCUUUUUAUUUAUUAUGGUGAAAAUAUGGUACUCUAAAAGGUUUAUGCACGUCAAAAUUAUGUAAAUGUAAUUUAUUUAUAAUCUGUAUGGAACAGAAAAGCUUAGCCAAGUCAAGGCUACAAAUUUAACUUUGAAUAAAGUUAUAAAUCAUA
This is a long non-coding RNA of Drosophila biarmipes, 418 nucleotides long. RefSeq lists it as uncharacterized. Lineage: Eukaryota; Metazoa; Arthropoda; Insecta; Diptera; Drosophilidae. The record is from RefSeq and is a predicted model, not a curated record. The transcript is spliced from 2 exons.